GACGAACGCUGGCGGCGUGCCUAAUACAUGCAAGUCGAACGCUGAAGAGAGGAGCUUGCUCUUCUUGGAUGAGUUGCGAACGGGUGAGUAACGCGUAGGUAACCUGCCUUGUAGCGGGGGAUAACUAUUGGAAACGAUAGCUAAUACCGCAUAACAAUGUAUGACACAUGUCAUUUAUUUGAAAGGGGCAAUUGCUCCACUACAAGAUGGACCUGCGUUGUAUUAGCUAGUAGGUGAGGUAAAGGCUCACCUAGGCGACGAUACAUAGCCAGCCUGAGAGGGUGGUCGGCCACAAUUGGACUGAGACACGGGUCAGAACCCUUCCGGGAGGAGCAGGAGGGGAUCUUUCGCAAAGGGGGGAAACCUUGCCGGGGAACGCCGCGUGGGGGAAGGAGGUUCUCGGGUCGUAAAGCUCUUGUGUAAGUGGAGGAAGGGUGUGAUAGUGGAAAGUUCACAUCGUGACGGUAGCUAAUCAGAAAGCGACGGCUAACUACGUG
Molecule: ribosomal RNA, 497 nt
Filed under: uncultured bacterium
Lineage: Bacteria
Description: partial 16S ribosomal RNA
Rfam family: Bacterial small subunit ribosomal RNA
Source: RNAcentral